This 450-nucleotide ribosomal RNA is filed under the name uncultured bacterium. RNAcentral describes it as "partial 16S ribosomal RNA". It matches the Rfam family "Bacterial small subunit ribosomal RNA", at positions 338 to 795 of the family's 1533-position model. The record is from RNAcentral.
CCUACGGGUGGUAGCAGUAGGGAAUAUUGGACAAUGGGCGAAAGCCUGAUCCAGCCAUGCCGCGUGGUAGAUGAAGGCCCUCUGGGUUGUAAAUACCUUUUAUCUGGGAAGAAAUAUCUCGUUCUCGAGAAACUGACGGUACCAGAUGAAUAAGCACCGGCUAACUCCGUGCCAGCAGCCGCGGUAAUACGGAGGGUGCAAGCGUUAUCCGGAUUUACUGGGUUUGUAGGCGGGGUUAGCAGGAUUAUAUGAAAGCCCCGAGCUUAACUUGGGAAUUGCCAUUGAUACUGUUUUUCUUGAAUACGAUGGAGGUAAGCGGAAUGUUGCAUGUAGCGGUGAAAUGCUUAGAUAUGUUACAGAACACCAAUUGCGAAGGCAGCUUACUAAGUCGUCAUUGACGCUGAGGCACGAAAGCGUGGGGAGCAAACAGGAUUAGAUACCCGGGUAGUC